UACGAAGGGGGCUAGCGUUGCUCGGAAUCACUGGGCGUAAAGGGUGCGUAGGCGGGUCUUUAAGUCAGGGGUGAAAUCCUGGAGCUCAACUCCAGAACUGCCUUUGAUACUGAAGAUCUUGAGUUCGGGAGAGGUGAGUGGAACUGCGAGUGUAGAGGUGAAAUUCGUAGAUAUUGGGAAGAACACCGGUGGCGAAGGCGGCUCACUGGCUCGUAUCUGACGCUCAGGCGCGACAGCGUGGGGAUCGAAACAAGGAUUAAGAU
RNAcentral lists this ribosomal RNA (263 nucleotides) under uncultured bacterium. Its description in RNAcentral is "partial 16S ribosomal RNA". It matches the Rfam family "Bacterial small subunit ribosomal RNA", at positions 524 to 783 of the family's 1533-position model. The record is from RNAcentral.